UACGUAGGGGCCUAGCGUUGUCCGGAUUUAUUGGGCGUAAAGAGCUCGUAGGCGGUUUGGUGAGUCGGGUGUGAAAUCUCCACGCUCAACGUGGAGGGGCCACCCGAUACUGCCAUGACUAGAGUCCGGUAGGGGAGUGUGGAAUUCCCGGUGUAGCGGUGAAAUGCGCAGAUAUCGGGAGGAACACCAGUAGCGAAGGCGGUUCUCUGGGCAUGUCCUGACGCUGAGGAGCGAAAGUGUGGGGAGCGAACAGG
RNAcentral lists this ribosomal RNA (254 nucleotides) under uncultured bacterium. RNAcentral describes it as "partial 16S ribosomal RNA". It matches the Rfam family "Bacterial small subunit ribosomal RNA", at positions 524 to 776 of the family's 1533-position model. The record is from RNAcentral.